This is a non-coding RNA of Merluccius polli (Benguela hake), 75 nucleotides long. The record is from the annotation of a GenBank genome assembly. Lineage: Eukaryota; Metazoa; Chordata; Actinopteri; Gadiformes; Merlucciidae.
GGUCCUGUGUGGCUCAACUGGUAGAGCCUAGGAUUAACACUACCGGGGUAAGGGGUUCGAUUCCCACUGGGGCCA